UUAAGCGACUAAGCGUACACGGUGGAUGCCCUGGCAGUCAGAGGCGAUGAAGGACGUGCUAAUCUGCGAAAAGCGCCGGCGAGGUGAUAUGAACCUUUGACCCGGCGAUGUCCGAAUGGGGAAACCCAGUGCAAUCCGUUGCACUAUCGUUAACUGAAUACAUAGGUUAACGAGGCGAACCGGGGGAACUGAAACAUCUAAGUACCCCGAGGAAAAGAAAUCAACCGAGAUUCCCCCAGUAGCGGCGAGCGAACGGGGAGCAGCCCGGAGUCUGAAUCAGCUUGUGUGUUAGUGGAACGGUCUGGAAAGUCCGACGGUACAGGGUGAUAGUCCCGUACACGAAAGCACACUUGCUGUGAACUCGAAGAGUAGGGCGGGACACGUGGUAUCCUGUCUGAAUAUGGGGGGACCAUCCUCCAAGGCUAAAUACUCCUGACUGACCGAUAGUGAACCAGUACCGUGAGGGAAAGGCGAAAAGAACCCCGGCGAGGGGAGUGAAAAAGAACCUGAAACCGUGUACGUACAAGCAGUGGGAGCCUCUUUAUGGGGUGACUGCGUACCUUUUGUAUAAUGGGUCAGCGACUUAUAUUCUGUAGCAAGGUUAACCGUAUAGGGGAGCCGAAGGGAAACCGAGUCUUAACUGGGCGUUAAGUUGCAGGGUAUAGACCCGAAACCCGGUGAUCUAGCCAUGGGCAGGUUGAAGGUUGGGUAACACUAACUGGAGGACCGAACCGACUAAUGUUGAAAAAUUAGCGGAUGACCUGUGGCUGGGGGUGAAAGGCCAAUCAAACCGGGAGAUAGCUGGUUCUCCCCGAAAGCUAUUUAGGUAGCGCCUCGUGAAUUCAUCUUCGGGGGUAGAGCACUGUUUCGGCUAGGGGGCCAUCCCGGCUUACCAACCCGAUGCAAACUACGAAUACCGAAGAAUGUUAUCACGGGAGACACACGGCGGGUGCUAACGUCCGUCGUGAAGAGGGAAACAACCCAGACCGCCAGCUAAGGUCCCAAAGUCAUGGUUAAGUGGGAAACGAUGUGGGAAGGCACAGACAGCCAGGAUGUUGGCUUAGAAGCAGCCAUCAUUUAAAGAAAGCGUAAUAGCUCACUGGUCGAGUCGGCCUGCGCGGAAGAUGUAACGGGGCUAAACCAUGCACCGAAGCUGCGGCAGCGACGCUUAUGCGUUGUUGGGUAGGGGAGCGUUCUGUAAGCCGUUGAAGGUGUCCUGUGAGGGGUGCUGGAGGUAUCAGAAGUGCGAAUGCUGACAUAAGUAACGAUAAAGCGGGUGAAAAGCCCGCUCGCCGGAAGACCAAGGGUUCCUGUCCAACGUUAAUCGGGGCAGGGUGAGUCGACCCCUAAGGCGAGGCCGAAAGGCGUAGUCGAUGGGAAACAGGUUAAUAUUCCUGUACUUGGUGUUACUGCGAAGGGGGGACGGAGAAGGCUAUGUCAGCCGGGCGACGGUUGUCCCGGUUUAAGCAUGUAGGCGGAGGUUCCAGGUAAAUCCGGUACCUUGUUAACGCUGAGGUGUGAUGACGAGGCACUACGGUGCUGAAGUGAUAAAUGCCCUGCUUCCAGGAAAAGCCUCUAAGCAUCAGGUAACACGAAAUCGUACCCCAAACCGACACAGGUGGUCAGGUAGAGAAUACCAAGGCGCUUGAGAGAACUCGGGUGAAGGAACUAGGCAAAAUGGUGCCGUAACUUCGGGAGAAGGCACGCUGAUAUGUAGGUGAAGCCCCUGCGGGCGGAGCUGAAAUCAGUCGAAGAUACCAGCUGGCUGCAACUGUUUAUUAAAAACACAGCACUGUGCAAACACGAAAGUGGACGUAUACGGUGUGACGCCUGCCCGGUGCCGGAAGGUUAAUUGAUGGGGUUAGCGGCAACGCGAAGCUCUUGAUCGAAGCCCCGGUAAACGGCGGCCGUAACUAUAACGGUCCUAAGGUAGCGAAAUUCCUUGUCGGGUAAGUUCCGACCUGCACGAAUGGCGUAAUGAUGGCCAGGCUGUCUCCACCCGAGACUCAGUGAAAUUGAACUCGCUGUGAAGAUGCAGUGUACCCGCGGCAAGACGGAAAGACCCCGUGAACCUUUACUAUAGCUUGACACUGAACACUGGUCCUUGAUGUGUAGGAUAGGUGGGAGGCUUUGAAGCGUGGACGCCAGUCUGCGUGGAGCCAACCUUGAAAUACCACCCUUUAAUGGCUGGUGUUCUAACGUAGACCCGUAAUCCGGGUUGCGGACAGUGUCUGGUGGGUAGUUUGACUGGGGCGGUCUCCUCCCAAAGAGUAACGGAGGAGCACGAAGGUUGGCUAAUCCUGGUCGGACAUCAGGAGGUUAGUGCAAUGGCAUAAGCCAGCUUGACUGCGAGCGUGACGGCGCGAGCAGGUGCGAAAGCAGGUCAUAGUGAUCCGGUGGUUCUGAAUGGAAGGGCCAUCGCUCAACGGAUAAAAGGUACUCCGGGGAUAACAGGCUGAUACCGCCCAAGAGUUCAUAUCGACGGCGGUGUUUGGCACCUCGAUGUCGGCUCAUCACAUCCUGGGGCUGAAGUAGGUCCCAAGGGUAUGGCUGUUCGCCAUUUAAAGUGGUACGCGAGCUGGGUUUAGAACGUCGUGAGACAGUUCGGUCCCUAUCUGCCGUGGGCGCUGGAGAAUUGAGGGGGGCUGCUCCUAGUACGAGAGGACCGGAGUGGACGCAUCACUGGUGUUCGGGUUGUCAUGCCAAUGGCACUGCCCGGUAGCUAAAUGCGGAAGAGAUAAGUGCUGAAAGCAUCUAAGCACGAAACUUGCCCCGAGAUGAGUUCUCCCUGAGACUUUAAGUCUCCUGAAGGAACGUUGAAGACUACGACGUUGAUAGGUCGGGUGUGUAAGCGCAGCGAUGCGUUGAGCUAACCGAUACUAAUGAACCGUGAGGCUUAACCUU
Molecule: ribosomal RNA, 2904 nt
Filed under: Enterobacter cloacae
Lineage: Bacteria; Pseudomonadati; Pseudomonadota; Gammaproteobacteria; Enterobacterales; Enterobacteriaceae
Description: bacterial LSU rRNA
Rfam family: Bacterial large subunit ribosomal RNA
Source: RNAcentral